UUUGGUGACUUGAGCAGGAGUGGCCUACCCUUAACCAUUCCGAACAAGGUCGUAAAAGCUCCUAGCGUUGAUGGUACUGUACUCUCCAAGGGUACGGGAGAGUAGAUCGUCGCCAAAG
This 118-nucleotide ribosomal RNA is filed under the name candidate division WWE3 bacterium. Lineage: Bacteria; candidate division WWE3. The record is from RNAcentral.